This 67-nucleotide transfer RNA is filed under the name Panopea globosa. RNAcentral describes it as "tRNA-Trp". It matches the Rfam family "tRNA". Rfam says of the family: Transfer RNA (tRNA) molecules are approximately 80 nucleotides in length. Their secondary structure includes four short double-helical elements and three loops (D, anti-codon, and T loops). Further hydrogen bonds mediate the characteristic L-shaped molecular structure. tRNAs have two regions of fundamental functional importance: the anti-codon, which is responsible for specific mRNA codon recognition, and the 3' end, to which the tRNAs corresponding amino acid is attached (by aminoacyl-tRNA synthetases). tRNAs cope with the degeneracy of the genetic code in two manners: having more than one tRNA (with a specific anti-codon) for a particular amino acid; and 'wobble' base-pairing, i.e. permitting non-standard base-pairing at the 3rd anti-codon position. The record is from RNAcentral. Lineage: Eukaryota; Metazoa; Mollusca; Bivalvia; Adapedonta; Hiatellidae.
AGAGCUGUAAGUUAUAGUAAACUAUAAGAUUUCAAAUCUUAAAAUAAGAUAAUAUUCUUUAGUUCUG